GACGAACGCUGGCGGCGUGCUUAACACAUGCAAGUCGAACGGAAAGGCCCUGCUUUUGUGGGGUGCUCGAGUGGCGAACGGGUGAGUAACACGUGAGUAACCUGCCCUUGACUUUGGGAUAACUUCAGGAAACUGGGGCUAAUACCGGAUAGGAGCUCCUGCUGCAUGGUGGGGGUUGGAAAGUUUCGGCGGUUGGGGAUGGACUCGCGGCUUAUCAGCUUGUUGGUGGGGUAGUGGCUUACCAAGGCUUUGACGGGUAGCCGGCCUGAGAGGGGGACCGGCCACAUUGGGACUGAGAUACGGCCCAGACUCCUACGGGAGGCGGCGGUGGGGAAUAUGGCACAAUGGGCGGAAGCCUGAUGCGGCAACGCCGCGUGCGGGAUGACGGCCUUCGGGUUGUAACCCGCUUUCGCCUGUGACGAAGCGUGAGUGACGGUAAUGGGUAAAGAAGCACCGGCUAACUACGUG
Molecule: ribosomal RNA, 468 nt
Filed under: uncultured bacterium
Lineage: Bacteria
Description: partial 16S ribosomal RNA
Rfam family: Bacterial small subunit ribosomal RNA
Source: RNAcentral